AAUGAACGCUGGCGGCAGGCCUAACACAUGCAAGUCGAACGGAUCCUUCGGGAUUAGUGGCGGACGGGUGAGUAACGCGUGGGAACAUACCCAAAGGUACGGAAUAGCCCCGGGAAACUGGGAGUAAUACCGUAUGUGCUCGAAAGAGGAAAGAUUUAUCGCCUUUGGAUUGGCCCGCGUUGGAGUAGGUAGUUGGUGGGGUAAUCGCCUACCAAGCCGACGAUCCAUAGCUGGUUUGAGAGGAUGAUCAGCCACACUGGGACUGAGACACGGCCCAGACUCCUACGGGAGGAAGCAGUGGGGAAGCUUAGACAAUGGGGGAAACACUGAUCGAGCCAUGCCGCGUGAUCGAUGAAGGCCUUAGGGUUGUAAAGAUCUGUCAGGUGGGAAGAUAAUGACUGUACCACCAGAAGAAGCCCCGGCUAACUCCGUGCCAGCAGCCGCAGUAA
RNAcentral lists this ribosomal RNA (449 nucleotides) under uncultured bacterium. RNAcentral's name for it is "partial 16S ribosomal RNA". It matches the Rfam family "Bacterial small subunit ribosomal RNA", at positions 29 to 523 of the family's 1533-position model. The record is from RNAcentral.